RNAcentral lists this ribosomal RNA (913 nucleotides) under Penicillium sumatraense. RNAcentral describes it as "LSU rRNA". It matches the Rfam family "Eukaryotic large subunit ribosomal RNA", at positions 33 to 964 of the family's 3401-position model. Lineage: Eukaryota; Fungi; Ascomycota; Eurotiomycetes; Eurotiales; Aspergillaceae. The record is from RNAcentral.
ACUAGCAUAUCAAUAAGCGGAGGAAAAGAAACCAACCGGGAUUGCCCUAGUAACGGCGAGUGAAGCGGCAAGAGCUCAAAUUUGAAAGCUGGCUCCUUCGGGGUCCGCAUUGUAAUUUGCAGAGGAUGCUUCGGGAGCGGUCCCCAUCUAAGUGCCCUGGAACGGGCCGUCAUAGAGGGUGAGAAUCCCGUCUGGGAUGGGGUGCCCGCGCCCGUGUGAAGCUCCUUCGACGAGUCGAGUUGUUUGGGAAUGCAGCUCUAAUUGGGUGGUAAAUUUCAUCUAAAGCUAAAUAUUGGCCGGAGACCGAUAGCGCACAAGUAGAGUGAUCGAAAGAUGAAAAGCACUUUGAAAAGAGAGUUAAACAGCACGUGAAAUUGUUGAAAGGGAAGCGCUUGCGAUCAGACUCGCCCGCGGGGUUCAGCCGGCAUUCGUGCCGGUGUACUUCCCCGUGGGCGGGCCAGCGUCGGUUUGGGCGGCCGGUCAAAGGCCCCUGGAAUGUAACGCCUCUCGGGGCGUCUUAUAGCCAGGGGUGCCAUGCGGCCUGCCCGGACCGAGGAACGCGCUUCGGCUCGGACGCUGGCAUAAUGGUCGUAAGCGACCCGUCUUGAAACACGGACCAAGGAGUCUAACAUCUACGCGAGUGUUCGGGUGUCAAACCCGUGCGCGCAGUGAAAGCGAACGGAGGUGGGAACCCCCCCGGGGUGCACCAUCGACCGAUCCUGAUGUCUUCGGAUGGAUUUGAGUAAGAGCGUAGCUGUUGGGACCCGAAAGAUGGUGAACUAUGCCUGAAUAGGGCGAAGCCAGAGGAAACUCUGGUGGAGGCUCGCAGCGGUUCUGACGUGCAAAUCGAUCGUCAAAUUUGGGUAUAGGGGCGAAAGACUAAUCGAACCAUCUAGUAGCUGGUUCCUGCCGA